CGGAGAAAUGCAUCAGAAACUGUUCGGCUAGAGAGUAGUUGCGGUAGGCGGAAUGUAUGGUGUAGCGGUGAAAUGCUUAGAGAUCAUACAGAACACCGAUUGCGAAGGCAGCUUACCAAGCUACUUCUGACGUUGAGGCACGAAAGCGUGGGGAGCAAA
This 159-nucleotide ribosomal RNA is filed under the name uncultured bacterium. Its description in RNAcentral is "partial 16S ribosomal RNA". It matches the Rfam family "Bacterial small subunit ribosomal RNA", at positions 614 to 772 of the family's 1533-position model. The record is from RNAcentral.